AUUGAACGCUGGCGGCAGGCCUAACACAUGCAAGUCGAGCGGGGACUUCGGUCCUAGCGGCGAACGGGUGAGUAAUGCUUGGGAAUCUGCCCAGUAGUGGGGGAUCACGUCCCGAAAGGGACGCUAAUACCGCAUACGUCCUACGGGAGAAAGAGGGGGAUCUUCGGACCUCUCGCUAUUGGAUGAGCCCAAGUCGGAUUAGCUAGUUGGUAGGGUAAUGGCCUACCAAGGCGACGAUCCGUAGCUGGUCUGAGAGGAUGAUCAGCCACACUGGAACUGAGACACGGUCCAGACUCCUACGGGAGGCAGCAGUGGGGAAUAUUGGACAAUGGGCGAAAGCCUGAUCCAGCCAUGCCGCGUGUGUGAAGAAGGCCUUCGGGUUGUAAAGCACUUUAAGCGGGGAGGAAGGUUCGCGGCCUAAUACGUCGCGGAAUUGACGUUACCCGAAGAAUAAGCACCGGCUAACUCUGUG
RNAcentral lists this ribosomal RNA (472 nucleotides) under uncultured bacterium. RNAcentral's name for it is "partial 16S ribosomal RNA". It matches the Rfam family "Bacterial small subunit ribosomal RNA", at positions 30 to 507 of the family's 1533-position model. The record is from RNAcentral.